This is a long non-coding RNA of Alosa sapidissima (American shad), 412 nucleotides long. RefSeq lists it as uncharacterized. Lineage: Eukaryota; Metazoa; Chordata; Actinopteri; Clupeiformes; Clupeidae. The record is from RefSeq and is a predicted model, not a curated record. The transcript is spliced from 3 exons.
CACACAUAGCUGCAUCACAUCCACACAACACCUAGGAUCACAUGAUGUCUUGAAGUCACAGGACUAAUUAGGAAGUGAUAAGUGUUUGCUGGCUGCAAGUCAGAUUCUCUUUAUGUUGGUGCUGGACACUAUUGUGCGAGUUGGGCUCCCUUUUCAUGCAGGGUAAUUUCUAGAAGGUUGUGUCUACUCUUCACGGAGGACACAGGCUUCUGCAUGGAGUUUUAACAUUUGUGAUCACCUCAUUGUGACCUGAGCUGCUGGGCUGCAUUGCAACGGAACAUUCACCUUUUUGCCCUCAUGUGUCAAUGAGCUGUGGACAGUUGAGCAUAUUGAAAAGUAGGCCUAUAUUUUCUAGCUAUGUUUGAGUGGACUAUGCUAUGUUGUUUAAUGAGGCUGGCAACUAACAUGCUUG